AAUCCGACUCUCUAAGUAAAACAGAGGAGAAAUGUGGUCUUUGCGGACACUUACUGUCUCUGAUUUCUGCCCAGCGCUCUGAAAGUUAAAUCGUAGUAAUUCGAGUGAGCGUGGGUAAACGGCGGGAGUAACAUUCACUCUUGAUCGUUACUCCUGAAAUAAAGUUAGACAGAGUGGCUUGCAUGCACAGCUUUACAGAUU
This 201-nucleotide non-coding RNA is filed under the name Ancylostoma ceylanicum. Its description in RNAcentral is "Eukaryotic large subunit ribosomal RNA". It matches the Rfam family "Eukaryotic large subunit ribosomal RNA", at positions 2131 to 2334 of the family's 3401-position model. The record is from Rfam by way of RNAcentral. Lineage: Eukaryota; Metazoa; Nematoda; Chromadorea; Rhabditida; Ancylostomatidae.